This 386-nucleotide ribosomal RNA is filed under the name uncultured eukaryote. Its description in RNAcentral is "partial 18S ribosomal RNA". It matches the Rfam family "Eukaryotic small subunit ribosomal RNA", at positions 592 to 976 of the family's 1831-position model. The record is from RNAcentral.
CAAUAGCGUAUAUUAAUGUUGUUGCAGUUAAAAAGCUCGUAGUUGGAUUUCUGACAGGAGCGACCGGUCCGAGCCUUCGGGUUCGUGUACUUUGUGUUGUCUCUAGUCAUCCUUAUGGAGAGCGUGUCUUUCAUUAAUUUGUUGGGCAUGGGAUCCAUAUCGUUUACUGUGAAAAAAUUAGAGUGUUCAAAGCAGGCAAUCGCUGUGAAUAUAUUAGCAUGGAAUAAUAGGAUAGGACUUUGGUACUAUUUUGUUGGUUUGCAUACCAAAUUAAUGAUCAACAGGAACAGUUUGAGGAUAUUCGUAUGAACAUGUCAGAGGUGAAAUUCUUGGAUUUUGAUCAGACGAACUACUGCGAAAGCAUUUAUCAAGGAUGUUUUCAUUAA